CACUUCUAAGGAAGGCAGCAGGCGCGCAAAUUACCCAAUCCUGACUCAGGGAGGUAGUGACAAGAAAUAACAAUAAACCGGCUUAUGCCGGUUUAAUUGGAAUGAGUACAAUUUAAACAUCUUAACGAGGAACAAUUGGAGGGCAAGUCUGGUGCCAGCAGCCGCGGUAAUUCCAGCUCCAAUAGCGUAUACUAAAGUUGUUGCAGUUAAAAAGCUCGUAGUUGGAUUUCUGUGGGGACGGAGCGGCCGGCCGCAACACGCGGUUCGAGCUAGCGCUUUCCCUACAUCCUGCCGCGAACCGUGCUACCAUUAAUUUGGUGGCGCCGGGGAUCGGCUCGAUUACUUUGAGAAAAAUAGAGUGUUCAAAGCAGGCCACAUGCCUUGAAUAAGUUAGCAUGGAAUAAUAACUAAGGACUUCGGUUCUAUUUUGUUGGUGUUCGGGACUGAAGUAAUGAUUGAUAGGGACAGUUGGGGCGGUCUGUAUUCCAAAGCGAGAGGUGAAAUUCUUAGACCUUCGGAAGACAAACAGCUGCGAAAGCGUUCCGCAAGGAUGUUCCCUUUGAUCAAGAACGAAAGUUGGGGGAUCGAAGACGAUCAGAUACCGUCGUAGUCUCAACUAUAAACUAUACCAGCUAGGGAUCGGCCAACGUUAUUUUAUACCGACUUGGUCGGCACCUUAUGAGAAAUCAAAGCAUCUGGGUUCCGGGGGGAGUAUGGUCGCAAGGCUGAAACUUAAAGGAAUUGACGGAAGGGCACCACCAGCCGUGGAGCCUGUGGCUUAAUUUGACUCAACACGGGAAAACUUACCAGGUCCAGACAUAGUAAGGAUUGACAGAUUGAUAGCUCUUUCUUGAUUCUGUGGGUGGUGGUGCAUGGCCGUUCUUAGUUGGUGGAGUGAUUUGUCUGGUUAAUUCCGUUAACGAACGAGACCCCAGCCUGCUAAAUAGCGCGUGUGAGCUUUGCUCGCAGCGAGCUUCUUAGAGGGACUAUGAUGCGCGAUAGCACAUGGAAGUUUGGGGCAAUAACAGGUCUGUGAUGCCCUUAGAUGUUCUGGGCCGCACACGGGCUACACUGGCGCCUGCAACGAGCAUAUCAGCUGGCCCGAGAGGGUCUUGGCUAAUCUUUUGAACCGGCGCCGUGCUUGGGAUUGACCUUUGCAAUUGUUGGUCAUGCAACGAGGAAUGCCUUGUAAACGCGAGUCAUCAGCUCGCAUUGAAUACGUCCCUGCCCUUUGUACACACCGCCCGUCGCUCCUACCGAUGAAUGUUCCGAUGAAAUUUUCGGAGAGUGCCUGUGAACUUGGCUCUGCCUUGCGAACGGGAAGCUCAAAGUCACUUAAAUCUGAACAUUUCG
Molecule: ribosomal RNA, 1353 nt
Filed under: uncultured marine eukaryote
Lineage: Eukaryota
Description: SSU rRNA
Rfam family: Eukaryotic small subunit ribosomal RNA
Source: RNAcentral